UGACCACACCGCAUUGAUGCCUCUUGGGGGAUGCUUGGCAUUGGAUUUUAGCAUGCAUUUGACUCCGACGUGGCAGAUAUAGUGCGUAGAUAGAUGAUGAAUUGGCAUCCGUCAGUGCUGUACUUGUUUGUAGCUUAGUAGUACUCUAACAACUAAAGAAGUAAAUGGUGGAUAAUUGGACGUUGUUGAAGUUUGAUGGAAAAUCGAUGAAGGAAUGGGAGGCGAGGAAAGCAGACUAAAGUUUCACCCUUUUUCAUCUGAAUUACACUCACACUUGCAUAUACCCUCUCAUUUAAUGGGGAGUCGAACUGUCCCUCUAAGACAAAUCUCAAUGAGAGUUUCAUAGGAGUUUUGUGAGCAUUAAAUUUGAUGCAACAUCAUCAAAAUUACUGACGGCAAGAUCCCCAUGACACUCAACUAGCACAAUUAUCAAGUUUUUAGUCUUGAUAACUGUACAAUAAAACUGUGCACUGAGAUUGGCCUAAAAUUUACAACUGUUCUUCUCCAACCACUGUAUUCCUGGUAUAUUCAAGUGUACAGAAAGUCGUAACGUAAAUCAAGAAGGAACUCCAGGUGGUUUUCUCUCUCUUGAUCAUUCCAGGGUCCUCGCAGCUUUUGGCUCUCCCCGCCAAGCCUUUCCCUGGAGGUUUCGCUGGCGAUCAAGCUCCCAAUCGUUUCCAUCCAUUUUCCUGGAUUCGCAUCGGCAUGCACACUCCUUAUCGUGUGUUUCAGCCUCGCCACCCCUAUUCUCGUCUUGAACUCUUGAGCUAUGGGGAUGUCGCCUGGCUCGAAACUUUGUGCGGUCGCUCCUCAUCCCUGCAAAACAGAGCUUGCGCGCCCCUUAGCUAGGGUCGGGGGGUUAGGUGGAUCGGAGGCCGUUCCCGAACAAAAGUCGUCUGCUUGUGCCUGGCAAGCGUCGCUCUGCACGCAUGCCCUCAUGCCGUCAUGCGUGGGAAAGCAGCUCACUAAACCCGUGUUCUUCGUCGCAGAUUAU
RNAcentral lists this long non-coding RNA (994 nucleotides) under Setaria viridis. Its description in RNAcentral is "long non-coding RNA (SVIR_LNC011434)". Lineage: Eukaryota; Viridiplantae; Streptophyta; Magnoliopsida; Poales; Poaceae. The record is from RNAcentral.